RNAcentral lists this ribosomal RNA (550 nucleotides) under Jaaginema geminatum ISB76. RNAcentral describes it as "bacterial SSU rRNA". It matches the Rfam family "Bacterial small subunit ribosomal RNA", at positions 94 to 675 of the family's 1533-position model. The record is from RNAcentral. Lineage: Bacteria; Bacillati; Cyanobacteriota; Cyanophyceae; Leptolyngbyales; Leptolyngbyaceae.
AGUGGCGGACGGGUGAGUAACGCGUGAGAAUCUACCUUUAGGACGGGGACAACAAUUGGAAACGAUUGCUAAUACCCGAUAUGCCCUUCGGGGUGAAAUGUUUUUUCGCCUAAAGAUGAGCUCGCGUCCGAUUAGCUAGUAGGUAGUGUAAUGGACUACCUAGGCGAUGAUCGGUAGCUGGUUUGAGAGGACAAUCAGCCACACUGGGACUGAGACACGGCCCAGACUCCUACGGGAGGCAGCAGUGGGGAAUUUUCCGCAAUGGGCGCAAGCCUGACGGAGCAAUACCGCGUGGGGGAGGAAGGUCUGUGGAUUGUAAACCCCUUUUCUCAGGGAAGAAGCUCUGACGGUACCUGAGGAAUCAGCAUCGGCUAACUCCGUGCCAGCAGCCGCGGUAAUACGGAGGAUGCAAGCGUUAUCCGGAAUUAUUGGGCGUAAAGCGUCCGCAGGCGGCUAGAUAAGUCUGCUUUCAAAGAGUGGGGCUCAACCCCAUAGGGGGAGUGGAAACUGUUUAGCUAGAGUAUGGUAGGGGCAGAGGGAAUUCCCAGUG